UAACAAUAUAUUUCUAAAGUUUUGAGUCAUUCCCGUUCAUUUGAAGCGUAAUUUCCCCCUUACUGUGGCUAGUUUGGAUGAGAUGACUUGACCCUAGCUAGCAUAACAUAAAUGGCAGCUAGCUCUACACUAUUUCGGGCAUUCGUUAACAAUCAGUGUUCAGAUAACUAGCGCAAACGUGCCGAGAUAUCUUGUUUAUUAUAAAAAUAAACGCUUGUGUUGUGCCAUGGCUUAUAUGGUGAUGACGUUUGAGAUUGUAAAUUUACGGGCCACAGAUGUGUCUAUGGUAAGGCCGACCUGACGAGAUAGCUGCCUACUGAGGUUUGAUUGGAUAUGGACAUUGUUUAUUUCAGAAGGAAAAUGUUUGGAGUGGAAUUGUUUGGAAGACAAUCUUGGGACAAUUUUGCUCUUUGGGUCUUUGUGCCAACCAUGCCAGCUAUCGUAGGGUGCUCUGGGAACUUCUUAGAUCUGUUUACUGUAUGUACACUUACUGAAAUAAGCAUUUUGUUUACAUAAAAUCCCUUGUCAUUUCACCACUAGGUUUGAAACCCAGACAGCACGAAGCAUCUUGCCGACGUCAAAAUCAGAUCAACAGACAGGGACAUCAGCCUUCUCUUGGGAAUAGGCCAGAUAUGCCAUAACAAGAAAUGGUGUGUUGCCCCUGCGGUUGUGAAGAGGAUGCUGUGGAGGUGGCAGCAUGAACGUGUCACACAGACAUUGGCUAAACUACUCGGCUUCUACACUUGCCCUCAGAGUUCACAUAUGGUGAAGUGCACAGGUGUCCAGUCAGGUUCAGACUGAUGCUGGUAACAAGAGGAAAACAUGCUAAUUGAUGACCUUUCCAGCAUGUCCAACUCAUCAGCAUCAGGGGAGGAGAGUCGGUGAAGGUGGUGCACCAUCCAGGACCAGUCAUGGGCCACCAACACCUCUGCAAAAUCUGCACUUCUUGUGAACCCUCUAGAACAGUGGUUCCCAACCUAUGGGUCGGGACCCCCCUUAUGGGUCGCCAAAGAUCCACAGGGGGUCGCGGAGCCCUCUUGAUUUUAAGGGGUUUCGUUUUAAAUAUAUAUAGCCCAUGUUGAAUAAAAGACAAAGCAUUUAACUAAUAAAUGCAUAGACGCAACAAAUUGUAAGUGCUACAUUAAACAUUUAUUCUAUAUUUGACCAAAGACGAAUUGAGGAAUAAAAUAACUAAAAUAAGUUUUCGCAGGAAACGGAGGGCAUCUUGUG
Molecule: long non-coding RNA, 1230 nt
Organism: Engraulis encrasicolus (European anchovy)
Lineage: Eukaryota; Metazoa; Chordata; Actinopteri; Clupeiformes; Engraulidae
Exons: 4
Source: RefSeq, a predicted model, not a curated record